AGAGUUUGAUCAUGGCUCAGGAUUAACGCUGGCGGUAUGCCUAACACAUGCAAGUCGAACGGAAUACUAAUUAAGAGAAAUCUCACACUAGUGAGAGGUUCUCACGAGUAGUAUUUAGCGGCGGACGGGUGAGUAACACGUUGGAACCUGCCCCGAAGUGGGGAAUAACUGCUCGAAAGAGUAGCUAAUACCCCAUAGUAUCCGGUUUAUCCGGAUUAAAGAUUUAUCGCUUUGGGAGGGGCCUGCGUCUGAUUAGCUAGUUGGUGAGGUAAAAGCUCACCAAGGCGACGAUCAGUAGCUGGUUCGAGAGGAUGACCAGCCACACUGGGACUGAGAUACGGCCCAGACUCCUACGGGAGGCAGCAGUGAGGAAUCUUCCACAAUGGGCGCAAGCCUGAUGGAGCAAUACCGCGUGCAGGAAGACGCUUUUCGGAGUGUAAACUGCUUUUGUCGUCGAAGAUUAUGACUGUAGACGAAGAAUAAGGACCGGCUAACUACGUG
Molecule: ribosomal RNA, 501 nt
Filed under: uncultured bacterium
Lineage: Bacteria
Description: bacterial SSU rRNA
Rfam family: Bacterial small subunit ribosomal RNA
Source: RNAcentral